This 405-nucleotide ribosomal RNA is filed under the name uncultured bacterium. RNAcentral's name for it is "partial 16S ribosomal RNA". It matches the Rfam family "Bacterial small subunit ribosomal RNA", at positions 28 to 526 of the family's 1533-position model. The record is from RNAcentral.
GACGAACGCUGGCGGCGCGCCUAACACAUGCAAGUCGAGCGAAGCGGCGAACGGGUGAGUAACGCGUGAGGAACCUGCCUUUCACAGGGGAAUAACACUGGGAAACCCGUGCUAAUACCGCAUAGUGAAAGAUGGCCUUGCGCCUGAUUAGCUAGUAGGUGAGGUAACGGCUCACCUAGGUGAUGAUCAGUAGCCGGACUGGAGGUUGAUCGGCCGCAUUGGGCCUGCGACACGGCCCAGACUCCUACGGGAGGCAGCAGUGGGGAAUAUUGGGCAAUUGCGCAAGCCUGACCCAGCAACGCCGCGUGAAGGAUGACGGCCUUCGGGUUGUAAACCGCUUCAGCCAUGACGCGGUAGUGGCAGAAGAAGCACCGGCUAACUACGUGCCAGCAGCCGCGGUAAUUC